AUAUCAAUAAGCGCAGGAAAAGAAACCAACAGGGAUUGCCUCAGUAACGGCGAGUGAAGCGGCAACAGCUCAAAUUUGAAAUCUGGCCUCUCGGGGUCCGAGUUGUAAUUUGUAGAGGAUGUUUUGGGUACCGCCCCGGUUUAAAUUUCUUGGAACAGAAUGUCAAAGAGGGUGAGAAUCCCGUCUUGGACCGGCGGUAGGGCCUGUGUAAAACUCCUUCGACGAGUCGAGUUGUUUGGGAAUGCAGCUCAAAAUGGGUGGUAAAUUUCAUCUAAAGCUAAAUAUUGGCCAGAGACCGAUAGCGCACAAGUAGAGUGAUCGAAAGAUGAAAAGAACUUUGAAAAGAGAGUUAAACAGUAUGUGAAAUUGUUGAAAGGGAAGCGCUUGCAACCAGACUUGAGCGCGACGGUUCCCCUAGCCUUUUGGCUAGGCUACUCCGUCGUGUCCAGGCCAACAUCGGUUCUGAGGGUCGGUCAAAGGCCCCGGGAAUGUACCUACCCACGGGUAGACUUAUAGACCGGGGUGUCAUGCGGCCUCUCGGGACCGAGGAACGCGCUUCGGCUCGGAUGUUGGCGUAAUGGUUGUCAGCGACCCGUCUUGAAACACGGACCAAGGAGUCUAACAUCUAUGCGAGUGUUUGGGUGUCAAACCCGGAACGCGGAAUGAAAGUGAACGGAGGUAGGAAGCUUCGGCUGCACUAUCGACCGAUCCUGAAGUUUACGGAUGGAUUUGAGUAAGAGCAUAGCUGUUGGGACCCGAAAGAUGGUGAACUAUGCCUGAAUAGGGUGAAGCCAGAGGAAACUCUGGUGGAGGCUCGCAGCGGUUCUGACGUGCAAAUCGAUCGUCAAAUUUGGGUAUAGGGGCGAAAGACUAAUCGAACCAUCUGGUAGCUGGUUCCUGCCGAAGUUUCCCUCAGGAUAGCAGUAACGUUUUCAGUUUUAUGAGGUAAAGCGAAUGAUUAGAGGCCUUGGGGUUGAAACAACCUUAACCUAUUCUCAAACUUUAAAUAUGUAAGAAGUCCUUGUUACUUAAUUGAACGUGGACAUUUGAAUGUACCGUUACUAGUGGGCCAUUUUUGGUAAGCAGAACUGGCGAUGCGGGAUGAACCGAACGUGAGGUUAAGGUGCCGGAAUGCACGCUCAUCAGACACCACAAAAGGUGUCAAUGCAUCUAGACAGCCGGACGGUGGCCAUGGAAGUCGGAAUCCGCUUAGGAGUGUGUAACAACUCACCGGCCGAAUGCAUUGGCCCUGAAAAUGGAUGGCGCUUAAGCGUGCUACCUAUACCUCGCCGUUAGGGUUGACAUGAUGCCCUAACGAGUAGGCAGGCGUGGAGGUCCGUGACGAAGC
Molecule: ribosomal RNA, 1348 nt
Filed under: Capronia americana
Lineage: Eukaryota; Fungi; Ascomycota; Eurotiomycetes; Chaetothyriales; Herpotrichiellaceae
Description: LSU rRNA
Rfam family: Eukaryotic large subunit ribosomal RNA
Source: RNAcentral